GACGAACGCUGGCGGCGUGCUUAACACAUGCAAGUCGAACGAUGAAGCUAGAGCUUGCUCUGGUGGAUUAGUGGCGAACGGGUGAGUAACACGUGAGUAACCUGCCCCGAACUCUGGGAUAACUGCUGGAAACGGUAGCUAAUACCGGAUAUGACCAAUGAAGGCAUCUUCUGUUGGUGGAAAGAAUUUCGGUUCGGGAUGGACUCGCGGCCUAUCAGCUUGUUGGUGAGGUAACGGCUCACCAAGGCGACGACGGGUAGCCGGCCUGAGAGGGUGAUCGGCCACACGGGGACUGAGACACGGCCCAGACUCCUACGGGAGGCAGCAGUGGGGAAUAUUGCACAAGGGGCGCAAGCCUGAUGCAGCAACGCCGCGUGAGGGACGACGGCCUUCGGGUUGUAAACCUCUUUUAGUAGGGAAGAAGCGAAAGUGACGGUACCUGCAGAAAAAGCACCGGCUAACUACGUGCCAGCCGCCGCCGUAA
Molecule: ribosomal RNA, 484 nt
Filed under: uncultured bacterium
Lineage: Bacteria
Description: partial 16S ribosomal RNA
Rfam family: Bacterial small subunit ribosomal RNA
Source: RNAcentral